ACGGGCGUAGCUCAACUGGUAGAGUGGCGGUCUCCAAAACCGUAGGUUGUAGGUUCGAGCCCUACCGCCCGUG
RNAcentral lists this transfer RNA (73 nucleotides) under Flammeovirgaceae bacterium 311. It matches the Rfam family "tRNA". From Rfam's summary of the family: Transfer RNA (tRNA) molecules are approximately 80 nucleotides in length. Their secondary structure includes four short double-helical elements and three loops (D, anti-codon, and T loops). Lineage: Bacteria; Pseudomonadati; Bacteroidota; Cytophagia; Cytophagales; Flammeovirgaceae. The record is from Rfam by way of RNAcentral.